CCUACGGGUGGCAGCAGUCGAGAAUCAUUCACAAUGGGGGAAACCCUGAUGGUGCGACGCCGCGUGGGGGAAUGAAGGUCUUCGGAUUGUAAACCCCUGUCAUGUGGGAGCAAAUUAAAAAGAUAGUACCACAAGAGGAAGAGACGGCUAACUCUGUGCCAGCAGCCGCGGUAAUACAGAGGUCUCAAGCGUUGUUCGGAACCACUGGGCGUAAAGCGUGCGUAGGCUGUUUCGUAAGUCGUGUGUGAAAGGCGCGGGCUCAACCCGCGGACGGCACAUGAUACUGCGAGACUAGAGUAAGGGAGGGGGAACCGGAAUUCUCGGUGUAGCAGUGAAAUGCGUAGAUAUCGAGAGGAACACUCGUGGCGAAGGCGGGUUCCUGGACAGUAACUGACGCUGAGGCACGAAGGCCAGGGGAGCGAAAGGGAUUAGAUACCCCAGUAGUC
RNAcentral lists this ribosomal RNA (446 nucleotides) under uncultured bacterium. RNAcentral's name for it is "partial 16S ribosomal RNA". It matches the Rfam family "Bacterial small subunit ribosomal RNA", at positions 338 to 795 of the family's 1533-position model. The record is from RNAcentral.